AUUGAACGCUGGCGGCAGGCCUAACACAUGCAAGUCGAGCGGAUGAAGGGAGCUUGCUCCUGGAUUCAGCGGCGGACGGGUGAGUAAUGCCUAGGAAUCUGCCUGGUAGUGGGGGAUAACGUCCGGAAACGGGCGCUAAUACCGCAUACGUCCUGAGGGAGAAAGUGGGGGAUCUUCGGACCUCACGCUAUCAGAUGAGCCUAGGUCGGAUUAGCUAGUUGGUGGGGUAAAGGCCUACCAAGGCGACGAUCCGUAACUGGUCUGAGAGGAUGAUCAGUCACACUGGAACUGAGACACAGUACAGACUCCGACGGGAGGCAGCAGUGGGGAAUAUUGGACAAUGGGCGAAAGCCUGAUCCAGCCAUGCCGCGUGUGUGAAGAAGGUCUUCGGAUUGUAAAGCACUUUAAGUUGGGAGGAAGGGCAGUAAGUUAAUACCUUGCUGUUUUGACGUUACCAACAGAAUAAGCACCGGCUAACUUCGUG
Molecule: ribosomal RNA, 484 nt
Filed under: uncultured bacterium
Lineage: Bacteria
Description: partial 16S ribosomal RNA
Rfam family: Bacterial small subunit ribosomal RNA
Source: RNAcentral